This 253-nucleotide ribosomal RNA is filed under the name uncultured bacterium. Its description in RNAcentral is "partial 16S ribosomal RNA". It matches the Rfam family "Bacterial small subunit ribosomal RNA", at positions 524 to 776 of the family's 1533-position model. The record is from RNAcentral.
UACGGGGUGGGCAAGCGUUGUUCGGAAUUACUGGGCGUAAAGGGCUUGUAGGCGGCCAACUAAGUCAGACGUGAAAUCCCUCGGCUUAACCGGGGAACUGCGUCUGAUACUGGAUGGCUUGAGUUCGGGAGAGGGAUGCGGAAUUCCAGGUGUAGCGGUGAAAUGCGUAGAUAUCUGGAGGAACACCGGUGGCGAAGGCGGCAUCCUGGACCGACACUGACGCUGAUGAGCGAAAGCCAGGGGAGCAAACGGG